GAUGAACGCUGGCGGCGUGCCUAAUACAUGCAAGUCGAGCGAAUGGAUUAAGAGCUUGCUCUUAUGAAGUUAGCGGCGGACGGGUGAGUAACACGUGGGUAACCUGCCCAUAAGACUGGGAUAACUCCGGGAAACCGGGGCUAAUACCGGAUAACAUUUUGAACCGAAUGGUUCGAAAUUGAAAGGCGGCUUCGGCUGUCACUUAUGGAUGGACCCGCGUCGCAUUAGCUAGUUGGUGAGGUAACGGCUCACCAAGGCAACGAUGCGUAGCCGACCUGAGAGGGUGAUCGGCCACACUGGGACUGGGACACGGCCCAGACUCCUACGGGAGGCAGCAGUAGGGAAUCUUCCGCAAUGGACGAAAGUCUGACGGAGCAACGCCGCGUGAGUGAUGAAGGCUUUCGGGUCGUAAAACUCUGUUGUUAGGGAAGAACAAGCGCUAGUUGAAUAAGCUGGCACCUUGACGGUACCUAACCAGAAAGCCACGGCUAACUACGUGCCAGCCGCCGCCGUAA
RNAcentral lists this ribosomal RNA (515 nucleotides) under uncultured bacterium. RNAcentral's name for it is "partial 16S ribosomal RNA". It matches the Rfam family "Bacterial small subunit ribosomal RNA", at positions 28 to 523 of the family's 1533-position model. The record is from RNAcentral.